RNAcentral lists this ribosomal RNA (753 nucleotides) under Salmonella enterica subsp. enterica serovar Virchow. RNAcentral's name for it is "partial 23S ribosomal RNA". It matches the Rfam family "Bacterial large subunit ribosomal RNA", at positions 711 to 1460 of the family's 2925-position model. Lineage: Bacteria; Pseudomonadati; Pseudomonadota; Gammaproteobacteria; Enterobacterales; Enterobacteriaceae. The record is from RNAcentral.
AGACCCGAAACCCGGUGAUCUAGCCAUGGGCAGGUUGAAGGUUGGGUAACACUAACUGGAGGACCGAACCGACUAAUGUUGAAAAAUUAGCGGAUGACCUGUGGCUGGGGGUGAAAGGCCAAUCAAACCGGGAGAUAGCUGGUUCUCCCCGAAAGCUAUUUAGGUAGCGCCUCGUGAAUUCAUCUCCGGGGGUAGAGCACUGUUUCGGCUAGGGGGCCAUCCCGGCUUACCAACCCGAUGCAAACUGCGAAUACCGGAGAAUGUUAUCACGGGAGACACACGGCGGGUGCUAACGUCCGUCGUGAAGAGGGAAACAACCCAGACCGCCAGCUAAGGUCCCAAAGUCAUGGUUAAGUGGGAAACGAUGUGGGAAGGCCCAGACAGCCAGGAUGUUGGCUUAGAAGCAGCCAUCAUUUAAAGAAAGCGUAAUAGCUCACUGGUCGAGUCGGCCUGCGCGGAAGAUGUAACGGGGCUAAACCAUGCACCGAAGCUGCGGCAGCGACACUCAGGUGUUGUUGGGUAGGGGAGCGUUCUGUAAGCCUGUGAAGGUGGCCUGUGAGGGUUGCUGGAGGUAUCAGAAGUGCGAAUGCUGACAUAAGUAACGAUAAAGCGGGUGAAAAGCCCGCUCGCCGGAAGACCAAGGGUUCCUGUCCAACGUUAAUCGGGGCAGGGUGAGUCGACCCCUAAGGCGAGGCCGAAAGGCGUAGUCGAUGGGAAACGGGUUAAUAUUCCCGUACUUGGUGUUACUGCGAA